Non-coding RNA from Tothia fuscella, 83 nucleotides. NCBI's taxonomy places the organism in Eukaryota, Fungi, Ascomycota, Dothideomycetes, Venturiales, Cylindrosympodiaceae. The record is from the annotation of a GenBank genome assembly.
GGGUCUGUAGAUCAGCGGUUAGAUCGAGAGAUUGCAGUAAAGCCAAUAUCUCUAGGUCCCCGGUUCGAGUCCGGGCAGGCCCU